GACGUAGGGCGCGAGCGUUGUCCGGAUUUAUUGGGCGUAAAGAGCUCGUAGGCGGUUUGUCGCGUCUGCCGUGAAAUUUCGGGGCUCAACCCCGAACUUGCAGUGGGUACGGGCAGACUAGAGUGUGGUAGGGGAGACUGGAAUUCCUGGUGUAGCGGUGAAAUGCGCAGAUAUCAGGAGGAACACCGGUGGCGAAGGCGGUUCUCUGGGCAUUACCUGACGCUGAGGAGCGAAAGUGUGGGGAGCGAACAGG
This 253-nucleotide ribosomal RNA is filed under the name uncultured bacterium. RNAcentral's name for it is "partial 16S ribosomal RNA". It matches the Rfam family "Bacterial small subunit ribosomal RNA", at positions 524 to 776 of the family's 1533-position model. The record is from RNAcentral.